RNAcentral lists this long non-coding RNA (1140 nucleotides) under Monodelphis domestica (gray short-tailed opossum). RNAcentral describes it as "lncRNA (ENSMODG00000051298.1)". Lineage: Eukaryota; Metazoa; Chordata; Mammalia; Didelphimorphia; Didelphidae. The record is from RNAcentral.
AGAUUUGACCUAGGAACUCCCGUCUCUAGGCCUGGCUCUUAUCCACUGAGCUACCCAGCUGCCCCCCAAAACACACUUUAAAUGGAUGAGGGGAAUGAUAUUUGAGCAUAAAGUCAAUUGGCUUUAUUCAUUGGAGUGUAAUUAGGGUAGUAAGUUCAGAAGUGUACUUUGGGAAAAACACUUUGGUGGUGGAGUGGAGUGGGGGCAGACAAGAUCUAACACCUGACUGGACAUGUAGGAGUGGAGGACACCACCAAAGUUGUCCAUCUAGGUGACUGAAGGUUCGGCAGACCAUGGGCAAUAUACUUGGGCAACUUGGGAGAGGCUAGGUUUGUGGGGAAAGAUAAUGUCAUGAGAUGUAGGAUGUGUGGCAACCCAUUCAUGCCUGCUAACUCAGCCAGGAGGUGACCUGGAGGACAGUGAGUAUGUCAGAGGGCCAGGGUAUUUUCCCAAUGACAUCUGUGCAGCAGCUGGGAGUGCCCAGGGGGAAGUUAGAAGCUUAUGCAGCAUAGGGAAUUGGGGGAAUGUGGGAAGAUAAGGGUUGGCCCCACUCUCCCCCUUCUGGGAUGAAAGCCAUCUUUCCAACCUCUGGUUGAUCAUAUAGCCCCAGUCAGCCCCUGGCCUCCCAGUUGGUACACAGUUGGUAUAAAUGACCACUGGAAAAUUAAAGCAGCUUUCCACUGACUAUCCUCACGACUCACUUCCUCCUCCCCUGACGAAUGGUAACAACCUAUUUUUUUUUCCUUUUUGGCAGCCAAGGAAGGAGUAUUCAACCAUCUAACCUAAAUAAAUUUCCCUCCACGUGCCAGGCACUGAAGAGACAAGUAAAAGCAAACAGAAGAAAUAAUGCCUAUGGUCAAACAUUCUAGUUCCAGAAAUUAAAUAUCAUUUUCACAGAUAAAAUGCUACUGGUUUCUGAUGAAGAGCUCUUUGAAAGUGCUGAGGAUUUUGGUGUCAAACAUUUUCUUUUCUGGACCUCCAGUAGGUAUCACUUUAGUACCUUUUAAAUAUAUUGUCAUAGCCUUUUUGUGAGUAUUUUAUUUAAUAUCCCCUUUUCUCCAAAGAGAGUUGAAAAAUUAUAUAAUAUAAAGUAAUAACUAAAACAAUAAAUAUAAUAUUAAAAAAUCGCUUGGAGGGAAA